RNAcentral lists this ribosomal RNA (466 nucleotides) under uncultured bacterium. Its description in RNAcentral is "partial 16S ribosomal RNA". It matches the Rfam family "Bacterial small subunit ribosomal RNA", at positions 30 to 507 of the family's 1533-position model. The record is from RNAcentral.
CGAACGCUGGCGGCGUGCUUAACACAUGCAAGUCGAACGGAAAGGCCCUGCUUUUGUGGGGUGCUCGAGUGGCGAACGGGUGAGUAACACGUGAGUAACCUGCCCUUGACUUUGGGAUAACUUCAGGAAACUGGGGCUAAUACCGGAUAGGAGCUCCUGCUGCAUGGUGGGGGUUGGAAAGUUUCGGCGGUUGGGGAUGGACUCGCGGCUUAUCAGCUUGUUGGUGGGGUAGUGGCUUACCAAGGCUUUGACGGGUAGCUGGCCUGAGAGGGUGACCGGCCACAUUGGGACUGAGAUACGGCCCAGACUCCUACGGGAGGCAGCAGUGGGGAAUAUUGCACAAUGGGCGGAAGCCUGAUGCAGCAACGCCGCGUGCGGGAUGACGGCCUUCGGGUUGUAAACCGCUUUCGCCUGUGACGAAGCGUGAGUGACGGUAAUGGGUAAAGAAGCACCGGCUAACUACGUG